GAUGAACGCUCGCGGCAGGCCUAACACAUGCAAGUCGAGGGAGAAGCCCUUUCGGGGGCCGAAACCGGCGCACGGGUGCGUAACGCGUAUGCAACCUACCUUUCACAGGGGGAUAGCCCGAAGAAAUUUGGAUUAAUACCCCAUAAUAUUAUCGGAUGGCAUCAUUUGAUAAUUAAAACUGCGGUGGUGAAAGAUGGGCAUGCGUCCUAUUAGCUAGUUGGAGUGGUAACGGCACCCCAAGGCUACGAUAGGUAGGGGUCCUGAGAGGGAGAUCCCCCACACUGGUACUGAGACAGGGACCAGACUCCUACGGGAGGCAGCAGUGAGGAAUAUUGGUCAAUGGUCGGAAGACUGAACCAGCCAUGCCGCGUGCAGGAAGAAUGCCUUAUGGGUUGUAAACUGCUUUUAUAUGGGAAGAAUAAGGUGUACGUGUACAUUGAUGACGGUACCAUAUGAAUAAGCAUCGGCUAACUCCGUG
Molecule: ribosomal RNA, 478 nt
Filed under: uncultured bacterium
Lineage: Bacteria
Description: partial 16S ribosomal RNA
Rfam family: Bacterial small subunit ribosomal RNA
Source: RNAcentral